Etheostoma cragini (Arkansas darter) is the source of this 497-nucleotide long non-coding RNA. RefSeq lists it as uncharacterized. Lineage: Eukaryota; Metazoa; Chordata; Actinopteri; Perciformes; Percidae. The record is from RefSeq and is a predicted model, not a curated record. The transcript is spliced from 4 exons.
UCCCGUUUAUCACUGCUGGUUGUUAGAAAGUUUUUCUGAUCUCUGUUGUCAGAGUGUUUCUGGUUCUACUGGAUUCUGUCUCCUCCUCCUCCAAGAGAUGAAACUGAAACAGGUCUGUUGUGUUCCUGUCAGAGACCAAGGUCUUUAAUUGACACACACGAUAAGAUGUCUCGGUGUCCAGAGGUCUUCCAGGUCGAGCUGCAGCGUGUUAACCCUCCAAUCAGAGCAGUCGAGUACGUAGGUCUUUCACUUUAUCAUGUUCACAUUGUGUUGAGUUCAGGGAGCAGAGUCUGUCUGUUUUCUCUCCACGUCAGUCCAGCUCAGCCAGCUGCUGCUGCAACUUCCCUGUGCGCUGUUAGUACUUUUACUGCAGUACCAUGUCUGAGUACUUGCUGUAAUCUCAGAAGGAAAGCUUGUACUUGUUGUUGUCCUGCAUUUAUCUGACAGUGUGUUACUCUGCACAUUCACAAUUUACACACAAAGUCUUUAUCAGCAGU